GCCCGGGUGGCGGAAUUUGGUAGACGCAAGGGACUUAAAAUCCCUCGAUGGUAACAUCGUGCCGGUUCAAGUCCGGCCUCGGGUACCA
Molecule: transfer RNA, 88 nt
Filed under: Thiotrichales bacterium HSG1
Lineage: Bacteria; Pseudomonadati; Pseudomonadota; Gammaproteobacteria; Thiotrichales
Also listed under: 1 other name
Description: tRNA-Leu
Rfam family: tRNA
About the family: Transfer RNA (tRNA) molecules are approximately 80 nucleotides in length. Their secondary structure includes four short double-helical elements and three loops (D, anti-codon, and T loops).
Source: RNAcentral